Molecule: ribosomal RNA, 497 nt
Filed under: uncultured bacterium
Lineage: Bacteria
Description: partial 16S ribosomal RNA
Rfam family: Bacterial small subunit ribosomal RNA
Source: RNAcentral
GACGAACGCUGGCGGCGUGCCUAAUACAUGCAAGUUGAGCGCUGAAGGUUGGUACUUGUACCAACUGGAUGAGCAGCGAACGGGUGAGUAACGCGUGGGGAAUCUGCCUUUGAUCGGGGGACAACAUUUGGAAACGAAUGCUAAUACCGCAUAAAAACUUUAAACACAAGUUUUAAGUUUGAAAGAUGCAAUUGCAUCACUCAAAGAUGAUCCCGCGUUGUAUUAGCUAGUUGGUGAGGUAAAGGCUCACCAAGGCGAUGAUACAUAGCCGACCUGAGUGGGUGAUCGGCCACAUUGGGACUGAGACACGGCCCAAACUCCUACGGGAGGCAGCAGUAGGGAAUCUUCGGAAAUGGACGAAAGUCUGACCGAGCAACGCCGCGUGAGUGAAGAAGGUUUUCGGAUCGUAAAACUCUGUUGGUAGAGAAGAACGUUGGUGAGAGUGGAAAGCUCAUCAAGUGACGGUAACUACCCAGAAAGGGACGGCUAACUACGUG